AAACCAACAGGGAUUGCCCUAGUAACGGCGAGUGAAGCGGCAACAGCUCAAAUUUGAAAUCUGGCUCUCGGGCCCGAGUUGUAAUUUGUAGAGGAUGACUUUGAUGCGGUGCCUUCCGAGUUCCCUGGAACGGGACGCCAUAGAGGGUGAGAGCCCCGUCUGGUUGGAUGCCAAAUCUCUGUAAGUCUCCUUCGACGAGUCGAGUAGUUUGGGAAUGCUGCUCUAAAUGGGAGGUAUAUGUCUUCUAAAGCUAAAUACCGGCUAGAGACCGAUAGCGCACAAGUAGAGUGAUCGAAAGAUGAAAAGCACUUUGAAAAGAGAGUUAAACAGCACGUGAAAUUGUUGAAAGGGAAGCGUUUGUGACCAGACUUGGGCCCGGCCGCACAUCCAGCGUUCUCGCUGGUGCACUCGGUCGGCCCAGGCCAGCAUCAGCUCGUGCCGGGGGACAAAGGCUUUGGGAAUGUAGCUUCUUCGGGAGUGUUAUAGCCCAUUGCGUAAUACCCUGGCGUGGGCUGAGGUUCGCGCAUCUGCAAGGAUGCUGGCGUAAUGGUCACCAACGAC
This 561-nucleotide ribosomal RNA is filed under the name uncultured fungus. Its description in RNAcentral is "eukaryotic LSU rRNA". It matches the Rfam family "Eukaryotic large subunit ribosomal RNA", at positions 62 to 648 of the family's 3401-position model. The record is from RNAcentral. Lineage: Eukaryota; Fungi.